AAGAUUCGAAGAAGGUGGCGCGUGUUAUUGUGCACAACGGCGUGUAAUACGUGCUUGAACGAAGAGGUUAUUUUCGUUCCCUUUUAUAUUUUAUCUUUGUUCCAAUUUAAAUUAACUGUUCGUUCAUGAAUAUUCGGGUUUGGGUGGAUAAGUGGAUGGAAAGGGAGAGUGAUUUUUUUUCUCUUUCGGAUGAUUUGUUUUUUUAAUUCGAAAAAGUUGUUUCUAAUUUUAAAGGAGAUAUAACCCGGUUUAAUAAAACUUUAUAAACGGGACACACGCAUCAAAUGGUUUACGAUAUUUGGAUGUCCUUCAAGUCACCUUAAGAAUUUUCAUCAACGAUAAAUUCAUUCGAUGUUCAAGCUAUUUUUGCACGUUAUUUGAUUUUUCGAUGAAAUUAUUUUUUUAAUUCAAAUUUUCUUUUAUCGUGAUAUGAAUUCUUGUCUUUAUGGAAACAAGUAUAGAGAGUUUUGUAAGACUUGUAGAUGUAAGUACAAAUUAUAAAUUCAAUUUAUCAAACAUCUCGUUUACCAACGUGUUUAAUCAGUUAAAAAACUUAGGAAUUAUUAUUAGAAAUUAUAACUAAUCUACGAGAGUGCUGUUAAUAAUACAAAUAAUACGAUCAUAUCAUGGGUUAAACGCCUCUAUGCAAACAUGAGUCAACGUGAUUAAUCAUAAAAUACGAGGAAACCAUCCGUAACGUUAUUAUUAUUAUUAUUAAUGAAAACUGAAAACAACAUAUUUAUAGAGUGGAAUUCCUUUAAAACAUUCUUUCGUAUUGCGAAUUAAUUAUUGAAAUUGGAAAUGUAAAAAUUUCAAUGAAUUGAAAAGAAGUAUUUUGCCAAAAAUUUGAAUUAAUUCGAUUGAUACAAUUAUUUGAGAGUAAUAAUUAGUGAGAAAUAAAAUGAUAUAUUGUUUAGAUAAUCAUUAUCUCAAAUAUUUGAUUAUUCAAAUAAUGCGUAAUACACACGUAUAUAAUUUCAAUAAUUAUUAUAUAUUAACUCAAACAUUUGUACAAUAUUCAAAUAUUUAAACAAUAUCCAAUCUUCAAAUAUUCUCGAAACUACUAAUCACAACUUUAUAUUACCACUUAUCUCCUUCCAAUGUUCUAUAAUUAACAUAUCUAAUUAUUCUAAUUAUUCUAAAUAAUCUCCAUUUUUUCGAAAAAAAACUGAUUAUACAUUUUUUUAACGAUUAUUUAUCAAUUCCUGGAAGGAAAAAUUAUAAAUAGCAAUUUAUAAAAAAGUGAAGUCAAUGAAUCAAGUCUCUUCUGGAACAUAGUUCUCCUCUAGAGUAACGACACUCAACUUUAUCAACGAGUUUGUAAAAAAAGAAAUAUAAAAAAAAAAAAAAAAAUCGUUGAACUAGGACGACAAAAAUAACAAAGCCGAAUCACGAGGAUUAAAUUCCAUUUUCAUGACUGUGCGCCCAAGCUAUUUAUCAACAGAGGAAAAACGAGGGAAUCGCGGGAGCAGAUGGUGGCGCCACUAUUAAUAAAAAUAAUACAUAACCUACGUGUCGCGAAACAACCUCGUGAUCGUCGUGAACGCGAAAAACAGUGGGGUAUUAACACCAGUUUAUGUAAACGGGAAAGAGACAAGAGAGUUUCGAAAAUAGUCGUUCGCGACCCACCACCGCGUACGCAUUUAGACGGCCGCGCUAAACUUAGAUUGUUUUCUGAACAAACGGGUUAAGAGGGGGCCCGGAGAAGUGUAUGACACGAUGGAAAAUGCUUGGAAAGAAACACGUUUAUACGGAGCGGCUCGAUUAACCGGAAGAAGAAUUAGUCUUCUCCCUUCAUAGAAAGUUUAUUUAUCGAUAAUUGGAACACCCUUUUACGAACGAUUGUACAUAUUGCAUUGAUCGUUCGAUGAAAACUUGAUAAUCUCUGGAAACAGCUACAACGUCGAGGAAAUUUAUCUUACGUAACAAAAGGAAUUACGUAGGACAGUUGAGGAAGAGGAGGAGGGAUAUACGGAACACGUGUCUUGGAUGGAGAGGCUCGUAAGAGGGCAUGAGCAUUGAAAGCGUUCACAGCGAACAAAUGGAAGCUUGGAUACUUAACUGGAGGAAACCGUAGUAUUACACUACUUGGUGACAUUUUAGCUGGUAUAAAACCAGAGAUCGUAAUGCUUCAAGAGAAAUUGAAAAAAAAGAAAGGAAAAAGAAUGUGCAAAAACCUGUAUCUUACUAGUAUCUCCUCUGUUUUUAUAUUUGUUCUUAUGUUUUCUUGUGUUUUCAGAGAUACAUAUUAUGGAUAGAUGAGAUGAGACAAUUUCACUCCAUUAUGGAUAUGAUCUUGAGAUCAGAAUUCGAGGAGGAUAAUCUUGAAAUGAAAAGAGUCUGAAUUGGAGAUAGAUUCAAAGUGGAGGAAAUUUUGUUUGAAAUGAUUUGAAAGAAAAAAAAGUUAUUAGGAUAGUCUAUGCGUGAAAUAUUGAUAAUUGUAGGAUUAAAAAAUUUCACUUAGAAAUGAGCUGGAGCUCUCCUUUCAAAAUUGAAGAUCAAUGGAUCUUGGAAUUAAUGGAUCCUAUAAAAAAUGAUUCUCUAAGAUAACUUGAAAAAAUAAAUCUAUUUGGAUCUAAGAAAUUUGGUUCCAAAGUGGAGGGAUUCUUGUUAAAUAAAUGCUAUGAAGAAUUGAUCACAAAAUUAACACAUUCCUGUUCAGAUGAUGUUUAAAUUUAUGAAUUGUUAUGGAUUCUAGAAUCGAGAAUCUCGAUUGAAGUGAAUCAAACAAUAAGGAUUUCUAUAAAUUAUUAUAUAUUAUUAUCAGUAUUAUUAAUUCAUUGAUAAUGGACCAUAUGGACAGUUAUGGAGGAAGAUAUAUUUCUGGAAAAUCCCUAUUAUGACUCUUAUCCAUUAAACGCAAGUGAGAAUACACGUUAGAAAAACUUAAUUGAUCGAGCAGUUUCAAACGUGUUACUAAUUACCACUAUUUACAUGAUAAUUAAGCUCGCGCUAAUAGAAGAGAAAUACGAUAAUCGAUCGUUCUACACUGUCAACCGUGAUACCAUGAGGAAAUAAAAUAUUUCUUGGAACGAAAUGAAACAAGUUUCGAUUACGAGUAUCACGUUCAUAACGUUUGGAAAAAAUAUUUUGUUCGCAUAAAAGGAAAAGAAUCGAGACCUUUUAGAAACAGUUAAAUUAAUAAUUCUAUUUUCAAAGAAAUGUAAUAUUCGACGAGGCUCAAAUUUUCUUCCUCAGAAUAUCGUCUAAUUGUUAAAUAUUCAAUUGUUAGAAAAAGAAGAAAAAAAAUAUAUACAUCUUUUUGCAUCAAUUUUCUCUUCAUCAAUUUCAAUAUUUUAAGGAUGUUAAUGCGCACCUUAUGCUUGCCUAUUUAAGGCAAUAUACCCAUGCUCAUAUUACGGAUCACUUGCUACGGAUGAUCAGCUGAUCAAUUAAAAUCUGUGGUUGACGACCAAUGAUCCGUGAUACGAGCAUAGAUACCUUAAAUAGGCGACAACCGAUAACGUAUCUGAUGAACUCUGCAAACUCUCUCCAGAUGCACAGCAUACGUUGAAUUAAUUCAAGGAGAAAUUAUAAAUAAUAUGUUUUAAUAUGAAGAGACUUUACAUCAAGUUUUUCUUUUUAAUUUAAUUGUGAUCAUAUUGUUUUACAUUGGAAUAUCUAAUUUGUUAUUUUCAUGAAAUAAUACUGGAUGGAUAUAUAUAUAUUGGUAGAUAUUUUUGGUCCAACAAAUCCAAAAGUUGUGUGCAACAAAACAAUGAUAUUUUAUCUAUUCGUUCAGAAAAUAAUGAGUAUAUUCUCAUUUAAAUGUAUGUGCCAAGUACAUCUGCAAAUUCUAAAUAAACAUUGUUUAACACAUCAUGACAUCCCAAUUACAGUGUUUUCAUGAAUUUAAUUUUCAUCAGUUGAGAACAAUAAUUGUAAAAAAUAUAUACAUAUUUACAUUUAACAUUUCUUUCUCAAAUUAAUAUUUCCAAUUAUUCAGAAUAAAAAUUUCAAUAAGAAAAGAAAUAACGAUGAAAUAAUUCAAUGUUUUGAAUAUUAUAUUAAAGUAUCAUCCAGGCAAAUAUUUCCAUAAGUAUUUCGCAACGAUGCUCUAAAUCAUUAAAUCUAUGGACAAUCAAACUGUUACAGAAAAACCAAUGAAUGAUGGAUUUCGAUAAAUUUAAAGGAAAGCAAUAGAAGGCCAAAUAUUAAGAAGAAAUAGAAGGAAGAAGAAAAAGAAGAAGUAAAAAUAUAUAUAUAAAAGAGAAAAGUAGCGAUGCUGGUCUCGUUAAGACGCUUCAAGAUGGUACUUCCCCCAUUUCCUCCUCAUCUCAUGAUUCGCUAUCAAAGCCGCCAUCUUGAAAGCACUUUAAAUCAAUUUAUUAGCUUCGUUUUUAAUCACCCUCCCCGUUUCGAACUGUCCACGAUAAGGAGGAGGAGGAGGAGAAGACACUGGGGUAGAGGUGAAAGAGGACGAACGAAAGAAAUUACCGAGGAGUCGAUCGUGGAAAUAUUUUUCCUCCAAUGGCGAUCUCUCGCUUCGCCUUCAUCAUCCCUUGCAUCUUGAUUAAACAAUCCUACGGCAUUCCGCCAUGCUUGUUCCACUCGAAAUUACCCUCUCAGAUUAUAUUCCAACUAUUCACGUUAUUUCGACGACAACCAGCCUCGCCAAUCAACCGAUUCUUGAAAGAGGAAUGGAAAUAUGGGGAGCCUGCUUUGGAUAACGAUUAAUGUGCGAAUUCCACUUCAUAUAAGUGAGACUUAGAGAAGAUGAAGAUUCUGAUUGAUUUUUAAAUUAUUAAAUGGAAAUUAAAGGAUAUAGUGUUUUUUAAUUAUUGAAAUGAAUUUUUGAAGGGGAAUGUGGAAAUGUGCAGCUCUCCUUUGGAUGAUUAAUGAGAAUUCCUCCACAACCUCUAAGUGAGAUUUAUCAGAGAAGAUGAAGAUUCUGAUUGAUUUGUCAUUUUAAAUUAUUAAAUGGGGAUUAAAGGAUACAAUGUUUUUAAAGUAUUGAAAUAAAUUUUUGAAGGGAGAUUAUUAAUGAGAAUUCCUCCACACUCUAUUGAAAUUAAUCUUAAAAGAUGAAGAUUUUGAUUUGUUAUUUUAAAUUAUUAAAUUGAAAUUAAAAAGUACAAUGUUUUUGAACUAAUGAAAUAAAUUUUUAAAAGGGGAUUAUUAAUGAGAAUUCCUCCACAUCCUAUAAUUGGGAUUAAUCUUAAAAGAUGAAGAUUCUGAUUUGUCAUUUUAAAUUAUUAAAUUGAAAUUAAAGAAUAUAAUGUUUUUGAACCAUUAAAAUGAAUUUUUGAAGGGGGAUUAUUAAUGAGAAUUCCUCCACAUCCUAUAAUUGGGAUUAAUCUUAAAAGAUGAAGAUUCUGAUUUGUUAUUUUAAAUUAUUAAAUUGAAAUUAAAGAAUAUAAUGUUUUUGAACUAUUAAAAUGAAUUUUUGAAGGGGGAUGUGGAAAUGUUCAGCUCUCCUUUAGAUGAUUAAUGAGAAUUCCUCCACAUUCUAUAAAUAGGAUUUAUCAGAGAAGAUGAAGAUUUUGAUUGAUUUGUUAUUUUAAAUUAUUAAAUGGAGAUUAAAGAAUACAGUGUUUUUAAACUAUUGAAAUGAAUUUUUGAAGGGGGAUGUGGAAAUAUUCAGCUCUCCUUUGGAUGAUUAAUGAGAAUUCCUCCACACCCUAUAAUUGAGAUUGAUCUUAAAAGAUUCUGAUUGAUUUUAAAUUAUUAAAUACAAUAUUUUUGAACUAUUGAAAUGAAUUUUUGAAGGGGGAUGUGGAAAUAUUCAGCUCUGCUUUUAAUGAUUGCUGGAUAGUCCAUGAAUUUAUUGAAAGAAUAGAGAUUGUGAUUGAUUAGAAUUUGUCAUUUUGAAUUAAUAAAUUGGAAUUGAAAAAUA
Long non-coding RNA from Apis mellifera (honey bee), 5836 nucleotides. RefSeq lists it as uncharacterized. Lineage: Eukaryota; Metazoa; Arthropoda; Insecta; Hymenoptera; Apidae. The transcript is spliced from 7 exons. The record is from RefSeq and is a predicted model, not a curated record.